KCCAUCGGAGAGCUUGCUCUUUGCCGACGAGCGGCGGACGGGUGCGUAACACGUAGGAAUCUGCCUGGUAGUGGGGAAUAGCCCGGAGAAAUCCGGAUUAAUACCGCAUACGCCCUACGGGGGAAAGCAGGGGAUCUUCGGACCUUGCGCUAUCAGAUGAGCCUGCGUCGGAUUAGCUGGUUGGUGGGGUAAAGGCCUACCAAGGCGACGAUCCGUAGCUGGUCUGAGAGGAUGAUCAGCCACACUGGGACUGAGACACGGCCCAGACUCCUACGGGAGGCAGCAGUGGGGAAUAUUGCACAAUGGGCGAAAGCCUGAUGCAGCCAUGCCGCGUGUGUGAAGAAGGCCCUAGGGUUGUAAAGCACUUUCAGUGGGGGGGAAAGGUUGAAGGUUAAUACCCUUCAGCUGUGACGUUGCCCACAGAAGAAGCACCGGCUAACUCCGUGCCAGCAGCCGCGGUAAUACGGAGGGUGCGAGCGUUAAUCGGAAUUACUGGGCGUAAAGCGUGCGUAGGCGGCUACCUAAGUUGGAUGUGAAAGCCCCGGGCUCAACCUGGGAACUGCAUCCAAAACUGGGUGGCUGGAGUACGGGAGAGGAGUGUGGAAUUUCCUGUGUAGCGGUGAAAUGCGUAGAUAUAGGAAGGAACACCA
This 650-nucleotide ribosomal RNA is filed under the name uncultured bacterium. RNAcentral's name for it is "bacterial SSU rRNA". It matches the Rfam family "Bacterial small subunit ribosomal RNA", at positions 68 to 711 of the family's 1533-position model. The record is from RNAcentral.